AACGAACGCUGGCGGCAGGCUUAACACAUGCAAGUCGAACGCCCCGCAAGGGGAGUGGCAGACGGGUGAGUAACGCGUGGGAACGUACCUUUCAGUUCGGAAUAACUCAGGGAAACUUGUGCUAAUACCGGAUACGCCCGCAAGGGGAAAGAUUUAUCGCUGAAAGAUCGGCCCGCGUUGGAUUAGCUAGUUGGUGGGGUAAAGGCCUUACCAAGGCGACGAUCCAUAGCUGGUUUGAGAGGAUGAUCAGCCACACUGGGACUGAGACACGGCCCAGACUCCUACGGGAGGCAGCAGUGGGGAAUCUUAGACAAUGGGGGAAACCCUGAUCUAGCCAUGCCGCGUGAUCGAUGAAGGCCUUAGGGUUGUAAAGAUCUUUCAGAUGGGAAGAUAAUGACGGUACCAUCAGAAGAAGCCCGGCUAACUCCGUGCCAGCAGCCGCGGUAAAAGUACUCUAAU
RNAcentral lists this ribosomal RNA (459 nucleotides) under uncultured bacterium. Its description in RNAcentral is "bacterial SSU rRNA". It matches the Rfam family "Bacterial small subunit ribosomal RNA", at positions 29 to 531 of the family's 1533-position model. The record is from RNAcentral.